RNAcentral lists this small nucleolar RNA (107 nucleotides) under Medicago truncatula (barrel medic). RNAcentral's name for it is "snoRNA gene22505". It matches the Rfam family "Plant small nucleolar RNA R71". From Rfam's summary of the family: R71 is a member of the C/D box family of snoRNAs containing the C (UGAUGA) and D (CUGA) box motifs. Lineage: Eukaryota; Viridiplantae; Streptophyta; Magnoliopsida; Fabales; Fabaceae. The record is from RNAcentral.
AAACCAUGAUGGGGGCAAAGCAUAAGCAUUUUUUUGAAACGCUCCCACGCAUCGUAAAGAGAUUCACCAUCUUUUUGAGUGAAUUGUGUAAUUUGACUCCUCAAUUG